RNAcentral lists this ribosomal RNA (497 nucleotides) under uncultured bacterium. Its description in RNAcentral is "partial 16S ribosomal RNA". It matches the Rfam family "Bacterial small subunit ribosomal RNA", at positions 28 to 507 of the family's 1533-position model. The record is from RNAcentral.
GAUGAACGCUGGCGGCGUGCCUAAUACAUGCAAGUCGAGCGAACAGACGAGGAGCUUGCUCCUCUGACGUUAGCGGCGGACGGGUGAGUAACACGUGGAUAACCUACCUAUCAGACUGGGAUCACUUCGGGAAACCGGAGCUAAUACCGGAUAAUAUCUUGAACCGCAUGGUUCAAUAGUGAAAGACGGUUUUGCUGUCACUUAUAGAUGGAUCCGCGCCGCAUUAGCUAGUUGGUAGGGUAAAGGCUUACGAAGGCAACGAUGCGUAGCCGACCGGAGAGGGUGAUCGGCCACACUGGAAGUGAGACACGGUCCAGACUCCUACGGGACGCAGCAGUAGGGAAUGUUCCGCAAUGGGGGAAAGCCUGACGGAGCAACGCCGCGUGAGUGAUGAAGGUCUUCGGAUCGUAAAACUCUGUUAUUAGGGAAGAACAAAUGUGUAAGUAACUAUGCACGUCUUGACGGUACCUAAUCAGAAAGCCACGGCUAACUACGUG